CUCUCGAUCUCUCAUCUUUUUUUUUGCUCUCUCUUUUCUUCUCCCUUCUUUCUUUCUUUCUUCAACAACAAAUAAAUCACCACAUCAGAGAAAUCUAGAAACUUGAUUGUAAUAAUGGAGACCAAACCAGUGAAGAAGCGUUUAAGAAUCGAGGCUUGAUUUCUUAUCUCUCUCAUCUUCAAUACUCAUCUUCUUCAUCUCUCUCUCUCUGGAAACCUCCAUAUCUUUUUUGAGUUUCUUCUGUUUGUUUUCUUCUCUCUAUAAUUUUGAUGGACAAGAUCUGAUAUCUAACCCAUUUUUUCGGUGGACCAGAUCUGUUCUUCAAACCAAUCGGUGGACAACACUGAUUUAUCCUCCCAGAUGGACAAGACUGAUGAAUUUCCCGAUAGACAACACUGAUGAACCUUCUGAUGGACAAGAUUGAUUAACUUCCUGGUGGACAACACUGAUGAGCUCCCCGAAGACAACAAUUGAUUUUGAUGAACUCCUGAUGGACAAGAGUGAUGAUUUCCCGAGACAAUAAUCGGUAGACAACACUAAUGAACCUCCUGAUGGACAACACUAAUGAACUUCCCGAGGACAACAAUCGAAGGACAACACUGAUGAACUCUCCGGUGGACAACAUUGAUGAAUUCCCAGAUGAAUUCUCAUAUAACAACAAUCGAUAGACAAUACUGAUGAACUCAUCGAUGGACAAAAUUGAUUCAUAUCAAUUUGUAUAUUUCUUUUUUUAUUAUGUUUUUGAUUCAGAUUUAAUUCAAGGAUAAAAUCGUCUUUUUCUCAA
Molecule: long non-coding RNA, 784 nt
Organism: Camelina sativa (false flax)
Lineage: Eukaryota; Viridiplantae; Streptophyta; Magnoliopsida; Brassicales; Brassicaceae
Source: RefSeq, a predicted model, not a curated record